RNAcentral lists this ribosomal RNA (497 nucleotides) under uncultured bacterium. Its description in RNAcentral is "partial 16S ribosomal RNA". It matches the Rfam family "Bacterial small subunit ribosomal RNA", at positions 28 to 507 of the family's 1533-position model. The record is from RNAcentral.
GAUGAACGCUGGCGGCGUGCCUAAUACAUGCAAGUAGAACGCUGAAGGAAGGAGCUUGCUCUUUCCGGAUGAGUUGCGAACGGGUGAGUAACGCGUAGGUAACCUGCCUGGUAGCGGGGGAUAACUAUUGGAAACGAUAGCUAAUACCGCAUAACAGUAGAUGUUGCAUGAUAUCUACUUAAAAGGUGCAAUUGCACCACUACCAGCUGGACCUGCGUUGUAUUAGCUAGUUGGUGAGGUAACGGCUCACCAAGGCGACAAUACAUAGCCGACCUGAGAGGGUGAUAGGCCGCACUGGGACUGAGACACGGCCCAGACUCCUACGGGAGGCAGCAGUAGGGAAUCUUCGGCAAUGGGCGGAAGUCUGACCGAGCAACGCCGCGUGAGUGAAGAAGGUUUUCGGAUCGUAAAGCUCUGUUGUAAGAGAAGAACGAGUGUGAGAGUGGAAAGUUCACACUGUGACGGUAUCUUACCAGAAAGGGACGGCUAACUACGUG